Molecule: ribosomal RNA, 292 nt
Filed under: uncultured bacterium
Lineage: Bacteria
Description: partial 16S ribosomal RNA
Rfam family: Bacterial small subunit ribosomal RNA
Source: RNAcentral
GUGCCAGCAGCCGCGGUAAUACGGAGGUGGCAAGCGUUGUUCGGAAUUACUGGGCGUAAAGGGCGCGUAGGCGGCAUGGCAAGUCAGAUGUGAAAGCCCCGGGCUUAACUUGGGAACUGCAUCUGAAACUGCUUUGCUUGAGUCCUGGAGGGGGUAGUGGAAUUCCCAGUGUAGCGGUGAAAUGCGUAGAUAUUGGGAGGAACACCUGCGGCGAAGGCGGCUACCUGGACAGUGACUGACGCUGAGGCGCGAAAGCUAGGGUAGCAAACGGGAUUAGAAACCCCCGUAGUCC